GGGGAAUAUUGCGCAAUGGGCGAAAGCCUGACGCAGCGACGCCGCGUGAGGGAAGAAGGCUUUCGGGUCGUAAACCUCUGUCAGGAGGGAAGAAGUGGCAUACGGGUAAUAUCCGUAUGUUUUGACGGUACCUCCAGAGGAAGCACCGGCUAACUCCGUGCCAGCAGCCGCGGUAAUACGGAGGGUGCGAGCGUUAAUCGGAAUCACUGGGCGUAAAGCGCACGUAGGCGGCUUGGUAAGUCACAUGUGAAAGCCCUCGGCUCAACCGGGGAACUGCGUGUGAUACUGCCUUGCUUGAGUCCUGGAGAGGGUGGCGGAAUUCCCGGUGUAGGAGUGAAAUCCGUAGAUAUCGGGAGGAACACCAGUGGCGAAGGCGGCCACCUGGACAGGUACUGACGCUGAGGUGCGAAAGUGUGGGGAGCAAAC
This 426-nucleotide ribosomal RNA is filed under the name uncultured bacterium. RNAcentral describes it as "bacterial SSU rRNA". It matches the Rfam family "Bacterial small subunit ribosomal RNA", at positions 356 to 773 of the family's 1533-position model. The record is from RNAcentral.